AGAGUUUGAUCAUGGCUCAGGGUAAACGCUGGCGGCGUGCCUAAAACAUGCAAGUCGAACGGUGUCCUUCGGGGCACAGUGGCAGACGGCUGAGUAACGCGUGGGUGACGUACCUAUCGGUGGGGAAUAACUGCCCGAAAGGGUGGCUAAUACCGCAUACGUCCACUGCUUCGUGGCAGUGGGGAAAACCUUGUAAGAGGUGCCGAUGGAGCGGCCCGCGUUCGAUUAGCUGGUUGGUGGGGUAACGGCCUACCAAGGCGACGAUCGAUAGCUGGUCUCAGAGGAUGAUCAGCCAGACUGGGACUGAGACACGGCCCAGACUCCUACGGGAGGCAGCAGUUAGGAAUUUUGGGCAAUGGGCGCAAGCCUGACCCAGCAACGCCGCGUGGGUGACGAAGGCCUUCGGGUUGUAAAGCCCUUUUCUGAGGGAAGAUGAUGACGGUACCUCAGGAAGAAGCACCGGCUAACUACGUGCCAGCAGCCGCGGUAAUACGUAGGGUGCGAGCGUUGCCCGGAUUUAUUGGGCGUAAAGGGCGCGUAGGCGGUCACGCACGUCCGUUGUGAAAUCGCUCGGCUCAACUGGGCGGGGUCAGCGGAUACGGCGUGGCUGGAGCAAGCUAGGGGGCAAUGGAAUUCCCGGUGUAGUGGUGGAAUGCGUAGAUAUCGGGAGGAACACCAGUGGCGAAGGCGGUUGCCUGGAGCUUUGCUGACGCUGAUGCGCGAAAGCGUGGGGAGCGAUCCGGAUUAGAUACCCUAGUAGUCC
This 763-nucleotide ribosomal RNA is filed under the name uncultured bacterium. RNAcentral's name for it is "bacterial SSU rRNA". It matches the Rfam family "Bacterial small subunit ribosomal RNA", at positions 8 to 796 of the family's 1533-position model. The record is from RNAcentral.